UACGUAGGGUGCGAGCGUUGUCCGGAAUUACUGGGCGUAAAGGGUCCGUAGGCGGUGCGGUAAGUCGGGAGUGAAAUCUCUGGGCUUAACUCAGAGGCUGCUUCCGAAACUACCGUGCUAGAGUGCGAGAGAGGCAAGUGGAAUUGCGGGUGUAGCGGUGAAAUGCGUAGAUAUCCGCAGGAACAUCCGAGGCGAAAGCGGCUUCUGGAUCGCAACUGACGCUGAGGGACGAAAGCUAGGGGAGCAAACAGG
RNAcentral lists this ribosomal RNA (252 nucleotides) under uncultured bacterium. Its description in RNAcentral is "partial 16S ribosomal RNA". It matches the Rfam family "Bacterial small subunit ribosomal RNA", at positions 524 to 776 of the family's 1533-position model. The record is from RNAcentral.